This 282-nucleotide unclassified non-coding RNA is filed under the name plant metagenome. RNAcentral describes it as "partial contains small subunit ribosomal RNA, internal transcribed spacer 1, and 5.8S ribosomal RNA". The record is from RNAcentral.
UUUCCGUAGGUGAACCUGCGGAAGGAUCAUUGUCGAAACCUGCCCAGCAGAACGACCCGCGAACUUGUAUAAACAACUGGGGGCGGGGGGCGUUCUCGCCCCGUGCCCCCGAACGGCGGGGAGACACUCGUGCCUUCUUGCCGAACAACGAACCCCGGCGCGGUCUGCGCCAAGGAACUUCAACUAAAGAGUGCCUCCGGUCGCCUCGGAAACAGCGUGCGUGCCGGAGGCGAAUCUUGUGCAAAACCAUAACGACUCUCGGCAACGGAUAUCUCGGCUCUC